UACGUAGGUGGCAAGCGUUGUCCGGAUUUACUGUGCGUAAAGGGCGCGUAGGCGGCUUAUCAAGUCAGGCGUGAAAUUCCCGGGCUCAACCUGGGGGCUGCGCUUGAUACUGAUUGGCUUGAAUGCGGGAGAGGAUAGUGGAAUUCCCAGUGUAGAGGUGAAAUUCGUAGAUAUUCGCAAGAACACCAGUGGCGAAGGCGGCUCACUGGCCCGGUACUGACGCUGAGGUGCGAAAGCGUGGGGAGCAAACAGG
Molecule: ribosomal RNA, 253 nt
Filed under: uncultured bacterium
Lineage: Bacteria
Description: partial 16S ribosomal RNA
Rfam family: Bacterial small subunit ribosomal RNA
Source: RNAcentral